AUUGAACGCUAGCGGCAUGCUUAACACAUGCAAGUCGAACGGUAACAGCAGAGCUUGCUCUGGCUGACGAGUGGCGGACGGGGGAGUUCCCACGGGUGCGGAACACGUGGGAACAUACCCUUUGGUAAGGAAUAAUAUCUGGAAACGGAUACUAAUACCUUAUAAUGACUUCGGUCCAAAGAUUUAUCGCCAAAGGAUUGGCCCGCGCAUGAUUAGUUUGUUGGUGAGGUAAUGGCUCACCAAGACUACGAUCAUUAGCUGGUCUGAGAGGACGAUCAGCCACACUGGAACUGAGACACGGUCCAGACUCCUACGGGAGGCAGCAGUGAGGAAUAUUGCACAAUGGGGGAAACCCUGAUGCAGCCAUGCCGCGUGUAUGAAGAAGGCCUUAGGGUUGUAAAGUACUUUCAAUAGUGAAGAUUAUGACGAUUUUCAAUAGUGAAGAUUAUGACGGUAGCUAUAGAAGAAGCCCCGGCUAAAUUCGUGCCAGCAGCCGCGGUAAUACGAAUGGUGCGAGCGUUAAUCGGAAUUACUGGGCGUAAAGCGCGCGUAGGCGGCCUGAUAAGUUGGAUGUGAAAGCCCCGGGCUCAACCUGGGAACUGCAUUCAAAACUGUCUCACUAGAGUACGAUAGAGGGGGGUAGAAUUUCAGGUGUAGCGGUGAAAUGCGUAGAGAUCUGAAGGAAUACCAGUGGCGAAGGCGGCCCACUGGACUGAUACUGACGCUGAGGUGCGAAAGCGUGGGGAGCAAACAGGAUUAGAUACCCUGGUAGUCCACGCCGUAAACGAUGUCUACUAGCCGUUGGGGAGCUUGCCUCCUUAGUGGCGCAGCUAACGCAAUAAGUAGACCGCCUGGGGAGUACGGCCGCAAGGUUAAAACUCAAAUGAAUUGACGGGGGCCCGCACAAGCGGUGGAGCAUGUGGUUUAAUUCGAUGCAACGCGAAGAACCUUACCUGGUCUUGACAUCCUACGAACUUUCCAGAGAUGGAUUGGUGCCUUCGGGAACGUAGUGACAGGUGCUGCAUGGCUGUCGUCAGCUCGUGUUGUGAAAUGUUGGGUUAAGUCCCGUAACGAGCGCAACCCUUCUCCUUAUUUGCCAGCACGUAAUGGUGGGAACUCUAGGGAGCCUGCCGGUGACAAACCGGAGGAAGGUGGGGACGACGUCACGUCAUCAUGGCCCUUACGUCCAGGGCUACACACGUGCUACAAUGGACGGUACAGAGGGUUGCCAAGCCGCGAGGUGGAGCUAAUCCCUUAAAACCGUUCGUAGUCCGGAUUGGAGUCUUCAACUCGACUCCAUG
RNAcentral lists this ribosomal RNA (1301 nucleotides) under uncultured prokaryote. RNAcentral describes it as "partial 16S ribosomal RNA". It matches the Rfam family "Bacterial small subunit ribosomal RNA", at positions 28 to 1322 of the family's 1533-position model. The record is from RNAcentral.